AACGCACGAGACCUGCGGACCUGCGGAAGGAUCAUUAUCAAUUUACAGCGGACUUCGGUCCUGUCUGCACCCUUGUCUUUUGCGUACUAUAUGUUUCCUCGGUGGGCUUGCCUGCCGAUAGGACACUUAUAAACUCUUUUGUAAUUGCAAUCAGCGUCAGAAAACUAUAAUAGUUACAACUUUCAACAAUGGAUCUCU
RNAcentral lists this unclassified non-coding RNA (198 nucleotides) under soil metagenome. RNAcentral describes it as "partial contains 5.8S ribosomal RNA, internal transcribed spacer 2, and large subunit ribosomal RNA". The record is from RNAcentral.